This 440-nucleotide ribosomal RNA is filed under the name uncultured bacterium. RNAcentral describes it as "partial 16S ribosomal RNA". It matches the Rfam family "Bacterial small subunit ribosomal RNA", at positions 338 to 795 of the family's 1533-position model. The record is from RNAcentral.
CCUACGGGAGGCAGCAGUGGGGAAUAUUGCACAAUGGGGGAAACCCUGAUGCAGCGACGCCGCGUGCGUGAAGAAGUAUUUCGGUACGUAAAGCUCUAUCAGCAGGGAAGAAAAUGACGGUACCUGACUAAGAAGCCCCGGCUAACUACGUGCCAGCAGCCGCGGUAAUACGUAGGGGGCAAGCGUUAUCCGGAUUUACUGGGUGUAAAGGGAGCGUAGACGGCAGCGCAAGUCUGGAGUGAAAUCCCAUGGCUUAACCAUGGAACUGCUUUGGAAACUGUGCAGCUAGAGUGCAGGAGAGGUAAGCGGAAUUCCUAGUGUAGCGGUGAAAUGCGUAGAUAUUAGGAGGAACACCAGUGGCGAAGGCGGCUUACUGGACUGUAACUGACGUUGAGGCUCGAAAGCGUGGGGAGCAAACAGGAUUAGAUACCCUAGUAGUC